Molecule: ribosomal RNA, 253 nt
Filed under: uncultured bacterium
Lineage: Bacteria
Description: partial 16S ribosomal RNA
Rfam family: Bacterial small subunit ribosomal RNA
Source: RNAcentral
UACGGGGGGGGCAAGCGUUGUUCGGAAUUACUGGGCGUAAAGGGCGCGUAGGCGGCUCUUCAAGUCGGGCGUGAAAUCUCCAGGCUUAACCUGGAAGGGUCGUUCGAUACUGUCGAGCUAGGGUGUGGAAGAGGCUACUGGAAUUCCGUGUGUAGCGGUGAAAUGCGUAGAUAUACGGAGGAACACCAGAGGCGAAGGAGGGUAGCGGGGCCAACAGUGACGUUGAGGCGCGAAAGCCAGGGGAGCAAACGGG